AUUGAACGCUGGCGGCAUGCCUUACACAUGCAAGUCGAACGGCAGCACGGGGCAACCUGGUGGCGAGUGGCGAACGGGUGAGUAAUGCAUCGGAACGUGCCAUUGAGUGGGGGAUAACGUAGCGAAAGUUGCGCUAAUACCGCAUAUUCUGUGAGCAGGAAAGCAGGGGACCGCAAGGCCUUGCGCUCUUUGAGCGGCCGAUGUCAGAUUAGCUAGUUGGUGAGGUAACGGCUUACCAAGGCGACGAUCUGCAGCGGGUCUGAGAGGAUGAUCCGCCACACUGGAACUGAGACACGGUCCAGACUCCUACGGGAGGCAGCAGUGGGGAAUUUUGGACAAUGGGCGCAAGCCUGAUCCAGCCAUGCCGCGUGAGUGAAGAAGGCCUCGG
Molecule: ribosomal RNA, 388 nt
Filed under: uncultured bacterium
Lineage: Bacteria
Description: bacterial SSU rRNA
Rfam family: Bacterial small subunit ribosomal RNA
Source: RNAcentral